CCAUUACACCAUGGAACCGCCAGCGGCCCUGUAUUCCCGCCGCUGAGCCAGGGCUGGCGCAGCCGCGCCGGCCCAGGACCCGCCUCCCGCCCGGCGCUCUCAUCACCCCGCCCCGAGCAGCUUCCUCCACAACGCCAGGGGGCGCCUGCCUCGCCGGCCUGCAGCCGUCUCUUCAGUUGUCCUCUUCCCGCUGCCCUAGGAGCGCUAAACAUCCCCAGAAGAGCCCUUCGGACUUCGUGGGAUGUCCGCUUCCUGGGACCCCAGGUCCAAGGGUAGUAAAAUCGGGGGGCACUGCCAGCUUCGUUCGGGGACAGAACGUCCUCUCUGUGUUGGGAACCCGAUCGAAGCCAAAGCGACAGCGGCCCCGCACAUCUCACCGCGAGCACCCACGCCGCUGGCGCCCAGUGGGGUGUGGUCGGAUACACAGGCGGGCAGCUGCUGAAACUCAGUAGUUCCUGGAUCUUCACUAUUUGGCCCCAGGAUGGUUUCUCCCCGCCCUCAUCAGGUGCAACUGGUCUCUGCACUAUCUGCAGCCCUGCAACUACCCUGACCUGCAUGAUUCCACACCGAUUCCAGAGAACUACCAGGCUGCAGAGGCUGAAGGCACAGGCAUGGGACUUACCACGGUCAGUCUCCAGGCCCAUGGACUAUAGCCCAUCAGCCUCCUCUGUCUGUGGGAUUUCCCAGCCAAGAAUACUGGAGUGCAUUGCCUUUUCUUUCUCCAGGUGAUUUUCCGGAACCAGGGAUUGAACCUGGGUCUCCUGGAUUGCAGGCAGAUUCUUUAUCGACUAAGCCACCUGGGAAGCCCUAAUGGUUAAUAACAGACCAUUUAAAUAUAUAUAUACAGUAGUC
This is a long non-coding RNA of Bos taurus (domestic cattle), 852 nucleotides long. The record is from Ensembl. Lineage: Eukaryota; Metazoa; Chordata; Mammalia; Artiodactyla; Bovidae.